RNAcentral lists this small nuclear RNA (154 nucleotides) under Mustela putorius furo (domestic ferret). Its description in RNAcentral is "U1 spliceosomal RNA (ENSMPUG00000021228.1)". It matches the Rfam family "U1 spliceosomal RNA". Rfam says of the family: U1 is a small nuclear RNA (snRNA) component of the spliceosome (involved in pre-mRNA splicing). Lineage: Eukaryota; Metazoa; Chordata; Mammalia; Carnivora; Mustelidae. The record is from RNAcentral.
AUAGUUACCUGGUAGGGGAGAUACCAUGAUCACAAAGGUGGUUUUUUUCCUGAGUGAGUCUUAUUCACUGGACUCUGACGUGCUGACCUGCGAUUUCCCCAAAUGUGAGAAACUCCACUUCAUCAUUUGUGCAUGUUCCAUUGUCCCACUGAAC